CAAUAGCGUAUAUUAAAGUUGUUGCAGUUAAAAAGCUCGUAGUUGGAUUUCUGGUGAGAUGGAUUAUGUCUAGGUCGAAAGAUCUUGUUCAUGGUUCGUUUUGCCCUUCUUGUCAGGAACCCGCUGAGAUUCGCGUCUUGUCGGUGGAAUGGCAUCGUUUACUGUGAAAAAAUUAGAGUGUUCAAAGCAGGCAUCGCCGUUGAAUACAUUAGCAUGGAAUAAUAAGAUAAGACUUUGGUGGUCUAUUUUGUUGGUUUGCACGCCAAAGUAAUGAUUAAUAGGGAUAGUUGGGGGUAUUCGUAUUCCAUUGCUAGAGGUGAAAUUCUUAAAUUUAUGGAAGACGAACUACUGCGAAAGCAUUUACCAAGGAUGUUUUCAUUAA
RNAcentral lists this ribosomal RNA (382 nucleotides) under uncultured eukaryote. Its description in RNAcentral is "partial 18S ribosomal RNA". It matches the Rfam family "Eukaryotic small subunit ribosomal RNA", at positions 592 to 976 of the family's 1831-position model. The record is from RNAcentral.